CGAAGGUGGCAAGCGUUGUUCGGAUUUACUGGGCGUACAGGGAGCGUAGGCGGUUGGAUGGGCCUUCCGUGAAAUCUCCAGGCUUAACCUGGAAAGUGCAGAGGGGACUGUUCAGCUAGAGGAAGGGAGAGGAGCGCGGAAUUCCCGGUGUUGCGGUGAAAUGCGUAGAGAUCGGGAGGAAGGCCGGUGGCGAAGGCGGCGCUCUGGAACAUUUCUGACGCUGAGGCUCGAAAGCGUGGGGAGCAAACAGGAUUAGAUACCCUGGUAGUCCACGCCUUUAACGAUGGAUACUAAGUGUCGGCGGGUUACCGCCGGUGCCGCAGCUAACGCAGUAAGUAUCCCGCCUGGGAAGUACGGCCGCAAGGUUG
Molecule: ribosomal RNA, 368 nt
Filed under: uncultured organism
Description: bacterial SSU rRNA
Rfam family: Bacterial small subunit ribosomal RNA
Source: RNAcentral